RNAcentral lists this ribosomal RNA (253 nucleotides) under uncultured bacterium. Its description in RNAcentral is "partial 16S ribosomal RNA". It matches the Rfam family "Bacterial small subunit ribosomal RNA", at positions 524 to 776 of the family's 1533-position model. The record is from RNAcentral.
UACAGAGGGUGCAAGCGUUGUUCGGAAUUACUGGGCGUAAAGGGCGCGUAGGCGGCCCGCUAAGUCGAACGUGAAAUCCCCGGGCUCAACCCGGGAACUGCGUCCGAUACUGGCAGGCUUGAAUCCGGGAGGGGGAUGUGGAAUUCCAGGUGUAGCGGUGAAAUGCGUAGAUAUCUGGAGGAACACCGGUGGCGAAGGCGGCAUCCUGGACCGGUAUUGACGCUGAGGCGCGAAAGCCAGGGGAGCAAACGGG